UACGUAGGGGGCGAGCGUUGUCCGGAGUUACUGGGCGUAAAGGGCAUGCAGGCGGUCGUACGCGUUUCGGGUGACAGCGGGUGGCUUAACUACCCGAGUGUUCGAAAGACGGUACGACUUGAGGACUCGAGAGGGACACGGAAUUCCGGGUGGAGUGGUGAAAUGCGUAGAGAUCCGGAGGAACACCGAAGGCGAAGGCAGUGUCCUGGCGAGUGACUGACGCUGAGGUGCGAAAGCUAGGGGAGCAAACAGG
RNAcentral lists this ribosomal RNA (253 nucleotides) under uncultured bacterium. RNAcentral's name for it is "partial 16S ribosomal RNA". It matches the Rfam family "Bacterial small subunit ribosomal RNA", at positions 524 to 776 of the family's 1533-position model. The record is from RNAcentral.